UUGACCCUACGGGAGGCAGCAGUGAGGAAUAUUGGUCAAUGGCCGGAAGGCUGAACCAGCCAAGCCGCGUGAGGGAGGAAGGCGCAGAGCGUCGCAGACCUCUUUUGCCGGGGGACAAAAGGCCGGACUCGUCCGGUCCUGAGGGUACCCGGAGAAAAAGCAUCGGCUAACUCCGUGCCAGCAGCCGCGGUAAUACGGAGGAUCCGAGCGUUAUCCGGAUUUAUUGGGUUUAAAGGGAGCGUAGGUGGACAGUUAAGUCAGUUGUGAAAGUUUGCGGCUCAACCGUAAAAUUGCAGUUGAUACUG
This 305-nucleotide ribosomal RNA is filed under the name uncultured bacterium. RNAcentral's name for it is "bacterial SSU rRNA". It matches the Rfam family "Bacterial small subunit ribosomal RNA", at positions 332 to 635 of the family's 1533-position model. The record is from RNAcentral.